CCGAAAUUACGCCAUUGAAGCUAGCUAGGGCAUUUGGUCAAGCUUCCUUGUUUGCAUGAUACUCCACAACUCGUGUGAGCAGCAUCGUGUAGCUCACAUUCCGACCCACAGCUCGUGUGAGCAGGCCCUUUUCACAGCUCGUGUAAGCAAUGAUGUAAAGGAAAGUUAUGGUUAUAUGUUGAGGCACACUUCGUGUGAGCUUUCCCGAGUAUCCGAUGAAAUUCUAGAUGGUUUAACAGGCAAGAAAAGGGAUUGAAAUGAUUACUGGAAGCUCAUUGAAAGCUCGUCGAAGAUCUCACACUAUCUAGCAUAAAUAUCGGUAAUUUUUGAAUGUUUUGGCCAAUUUUAUAAUGGCAUGUAUAGGUUGAACUGUAAUGGCAUUUUGUUGGAUGUUUUAUUGGUGUUUAAAAUGUAUAAGUUGUGGAAGUUAACUUGGUUUGUACCAUUUGGUGCCAUGUUAGAUUGUGUCUAUUUGGUUAUCUUGUGAUGUAUAUCUUGAA
Long non-coding RNA from Gossypium raimondii (Peruvian cotton), 500 nucleotides. RefSeq lists it as uncharacterized. The transcript is spliced from 3 exons. NCBI's taxonomy places the organism in Eukaryota, Viridiplantae, Streptophyta, Magnoliopsida, Malvales, Malvaceae. The record is from RefSeq and is a predicted model, not a curated record.